GAAAUGCGAUAAUUAAUGUGAAUUGCAGAAUUCAGUGAAUCAUCGAGUCUUUGAACGCACAUUGCGCCUCCUGGUAUUCCGGGGGGCAUGCCUGUCCGAGCGUCAUUGCUGCCCUCAAGCACGGCUUGUGUGUUGGGCUUCCGUCCCUGGCAACGGGGACGGGCCCAAAAGGCAGUGGCGGCACCAUGUCUGGUCCUCGAGCGUAUGGGGCUUUGUCACCCGCUCCCGUAGGUCCAGCUGGCAGCUAGCCUCGCAACCAAUCUUUUUAACCAGGUUGACCUCGGAUCAGGUAGAGAUACCCGCUGAACUUAGGC
This 314-nucleotide unclassified non-coding RNA is filed under the name plant metagenome. Its description in RNAcentral is "partial contains 5.8S ribosomal RNA, internal transcribed spacer 2, and large subunit ribosomal RNA". The stretch from base 1 to 105 matches the Rfam family "5.8S ribosomal RNA", at positions 50 to 154 of the family's 154-position model. The record is from RNAcentral.